CACCCCCCGCCUGUCUCACUGACUCCCCCCCCCUCCCCCCCGCUGCCGCUUUCUCCUCCUCUUCUUUCUGCAGCCCAUUCCCCACGGCUGGGCCCGGCCUGACCCACCUUCCAAGCCGCUCCCGCCUGACCCGCUUCCUAAGGAAUCCCAGGUAACGUCCUUGGGCCCUGGCGGGCGCGGAUGGGGGCCCAGGGCAGCGGCUGCUGUAACCCCCCACCGAGGCCCCUGCAUGCCUGUCACUGCAUGGACUCACCAGGGGCACUGAGCUCUGCCCGGCUGACACGGGCUCUGCCCCCACGGGGCUGGACUCCAGGGCUUGGUUCGGCCUCCUGUCCCGUGCGCUGGGGGGUGAUGGGGUCAGAGCAGCAGUGAGGGCAGGGCCUGAGCGUGAAACCCGUAAGUCUCUCUUCCCCAGCCCCGAUGUGGGGGCAGGGCGUAGCCCCGUGGGCCAUGCACCCCUGUGCCGGGCUGUGGGGUCCUGGGUGCAGCCAUGGGAUGGAGCCUUUGCCCCAAGCUCUCCCCCAAGCCUGACAGGCACACCUCAGCCCAGGGGCCCAGCACGCCUUGCCCAGGGUCUCACGCCUGGCCGCUGGAGGUGCGCUGGGCCGGCAGCUCCCCACAGGCCCACUGGCAUUUGCACCCAGGCUGGGAGAUUUUAGCCCCAUCCCAUUGGCAUUGGGCUCCCCGCGGUGCAGCCUUGGCCCCGUUCUGUCCCUGGAGCCCCCAGUCCGGUGCUGGGCUCCCAUCUCCCCCCGGCUGAGGCAGGCAGGACCUGCCUCUUCCCCAGGGGUCUGUGCGGACCCCAGCAGCUGCCAGCGUGGGGCGCUGUGUCGCUGUUUCAUUGUCCCUGCUCUCUCUGCCCAGGCCUUGCUGCGGGACAGGCCGCCCCCCCCCACGCGCCCACUGCCUGCAGACCCUGUGCUGAAAGGCACUCAGGUAACCGCGCCACGCGGGGUGAUGCUGGCGGUGGCACGGAUCUGUGUGUGGGGAGGGAUGUCUGGCUGUGGGGGCCAGGCUGCCUGUGUGGGGUGGGGGGGAUCGACCUCGUCUCCCCCCAAGGGAUGUGCAGGGCACAGCUGGCGGGGGGGGAGCAGUGGGUGCUGCGUGAGCUCCCUCGCCUUGCACGGGGCCCCGGGACAUGAGCCCUCCUCAGUAACUCGCCCUGACGUUUCUCCGCAGCCACCAGGCCCUGCCCGGCUGCCUCUGCCCAAGAGGCUGCUGCCCUCGGAUCCCACCGGGCCCCUCGUCUCCGGGUCUGAGCUGUCCUCGGUGCACUCCUACGGCCCCCACGUCAUGGUGCUGCCCUCCAGGCCAGCUCCCCCGCCCCCCGCUGGGCAUC
RNAcentral lists this long non-coding RNA (1339 nucleotides) under Chrysemys picta bellii (western painted turtle). RNAcentral's name for it is "lncRNA (ENSCPBG00000025679.1)". Lineage: Eukaryota; Metazoa; Chordata; Testudines; Emydidae. The record is from RNAcentral.